RNAcentral lists this ribosomal RNA (475 nucleotides) under uncultured bacterium. RNAcentral's name for it is "bacterial SSU rRNA". It matches the Rfam family "Bacterial small subunit ribosomal RNA", at positions 34 to 507 of the family's 1533-position model. The record is from RNAcentral.
CGCUGGCGGCGUGCUUAACACAUGCAAGUCGAACGGAGCACCCUUGAUUGAGGUUUCGGCCAAAUGAUAGGAAUGCUUAGUGGCGGACUGGUGAGUAACGCGUGAGGAACCUGCCUUUCAGAGGGGGACAACAGUUGGAAACGACUGCUAAUACCGCAUGACGCAUUUUGAUCGCAUGGUCGAAAUGCCAAAGAUUUAUCGCUGAAAGAUGGCCUCGCGUCUGAUUAGCUAGUUGGUGAGGUAACGGCCCACCAAGGCGACGAUCAGUAGCCGGACUGAGAGGUUGACCGGCCACAUUGGGACUGAGAUACGGCCCAGACUCCUACGGGAGGCAGCAGUGGGGAAUAUUGGGCAAUGGGCGCAAGCCUGACCCAGCAACGCCGCGUGAAGGAAGAAGGCUUUCGGGUUGUAAACUUCUUUUAAGUGGGAAGAGUAGAAGACGGUACCACUUGAAUAAGCCACGGCUAACUACGUG